GGAAAGUUUGAAAUUGACUUUCUGUUCCACAGAAGGGUGAGUGACUGUAAGAUCAAGAUUCAGCACACGUGUGAGAAUGUGACUCCACUACAGAAAUACAGUUCACAAGAGGGAUUGAGGCUCUCACACAGAUUCAGUCCAGUGUUGAGAUUGUGACUGAUGUACUUAGACACAACACAAAGGGCAUGUUGGCUCUGUUACCUAGAACUGGGACAUGUGCUGGAUUCUUAAUUUAAUCUCUGGACCUUCCUGCAGGAGUGACAGUGACAUGUGUCUCUUUCCAGCACCUGAGUGAUUUGACUCUUUUGCUUGGGGCCUGCCCAAAUAUGAGUUUGUGACAUAUCACUAAAGGUAGCACCUAGGUGAUGUGACUCAUUCUCUUUACUUGGUGCUGGCCAUAAGAGACAUUUUGACAUAUCAUGGGCCUUGCAACCUGGUGGUACGAAUCUUCUCUUCUGUCUUUGUUUUUUUUUUAAGGCGGCAUUGUGACAUAUUGCUGCCCUGCAAAAGGGUUGUGUGACGCUCCUGCCUGUGCCCUGUCCACAUAGACCAUUGUAACAUAUUGUUGGGUCUAACACUUUGGUGAUGUAACUCUCCUGCCUGGUCCCUGCCUACAGAGGACAUUGUGACAUAUUUCUCUGCCCAUCACCCGGUUGAUGUGACUCACUUCUCCUGCCUGGUCUCUGCUCACAGAGGAGAUUGUGACAUAUACCUGGGCCCAGGACCUAGCUAAUUUGUCUUUUGUCUUUUUACAGCUUUCUGCCAACAAGAAAGAUAGUGAUAUAUAAUGGGGUUUAAUUCCAAGGUAUUAAUAAUAUUGCUAUUUUCCCUUGGCCCUGCUCUCAGAUGGAAUUGGGACAUAUUGAUAGGCCCCAGAAGCAAGGCGAUGUGAGUCUCCUGCCUGGAGCCUGUCCACAGAGGGCAUUGCUGCGUAUCUCUGAGCUCAUCAACUAUUUGAUAUGACUCUCCUUUUACUUGAGUUUUUUUAAAUAAAAGAGAUUUUGACAUAUCUGUGGGCCCAGCACCUAGGUGAUGGAACUGUCUUCUGCCUGAGUCACUCCCACAGAUGAGACAGUGACUUAUUUCUUGGACCAGCACACUAGUGAUGUAAUUUUCCUGCCUGAUUUCUGCACACAGAUUUCACUGUGACAUAUCUCUGGCCCCAUCACCUAUAUGAUUUGACAGUCUUCUUUGUUCUGGGACCUCUCCACAGUAGGCAUUGUGAUAUAUCACUUGGCCUAGCAGAGAGCAUUGUGACAUACCCGCGAGCCAAGCACACAGAUGAUGUUAUUCUGCUGCCUGUGCCCUGCUUUCAGGAGUGGAUUGCAAUGUAACACUGGCUGAGUACCCAGGUUAAUGACACUGUUGCCUGGUCCCUGUUCUCAGGGAAGACUGUAAUAGACCCCUGACCCAAUAUCCAGGGGACAUUGUGACAUACUUCUUGGCCAUGAACCCAGGUUAUGUGAGCCUUUCUGUGCCCUGCCCAUGUGGACAAUUGUGACAUAUUACCGAGUCCUACACCCAGGCGAUGCUACUCUCCUGUCUGGUCCUUGCCUACAGGGAACAUUGUGACAUAUCUCUUUGCCAUUCAUCCAGGUUCUGCCCACAGGGAAGAUUGUGGUGAAUUACUGAACGCGAUACCUAGAUGAAGGAGAGACUAUAACAUACCUCUUGGCCCAGCACCUAGUUGAUGUAACUCUGCUCUCCUGCCUGGGCCACACCUACAGAAGAAAGAGUGACUUCUCACUGGGCCAGCACACAGGUCAUGUUAUUUUACUGCCUUGAUCCUUGUCCACAAUAAUCAUUGUACAUAGUUUUGGGCUCUUCUACUAGAAGACGUGCGGGAUGGUUAAAUAUCACUGGACCUAGCACCUAGGGAAUGUGACUCUUGUCUUUUGCAUCAGCCCCACUCGUUUUGAGAACUGUAACAUAUCACUGGGCCAAACACCUAGAAGAUGGGAAGUGUCUGCCUAUGCCCUGCAAACAGGGCUUUAGCCCUACCACUCUCAAGAGCCUCGUGACAUAUCUCUGCAUUCAUCAUCUAGGAGAUGUGACUCCUCCCUGCUGCCUGCGCUCUGCCUACAGGGAAGACCAUAACAACAUUUGGCCCAGCAACACGGUGAUGUGUUUUUUCCCAGGGCCUUGCUCACAGGGAGCAUUGUGACAUAUCACUGGAACCAGCAUCCAGGGCUGUGACUCUGUGUCCUGCUGUUAGAACAGGAUUGUAACAUAUCACUGACCAAGCACCCAGGUGAUGUGACUCUUCUGCCUGGUGCCUGCCUUCAGGGAAAAUUGUGACAUAUGCCUGGCCUAGCACCAAAGUGAUGUGGCUCUCCUGCUACCUCUAUGCACAGGUGGGAUUGUGACAUAUACCUUCAUUCAGCUCAUAGGUGAGGUGAUAACUCUCAUACCACAAACCAAACAGUAGGAGAGAUGCUGUCUGUCAAAGCUAAGCUUACAGAAAUACACAAGAUUCAGGGACUUUUCUUUGUAUAAACAUUAUAGUAGAUUACUGCUCUCUUGUAUAUAAUAUAAACUUCUCAGGUGGUACAGAGAGUGUCAUCACAGGGCCCAGCGCACAGGUGAGAAUACAUUAUUUGUAUGCACGCCCCACCACCCAUUAGGAUUUUCACCCUCAAACAUGGAAAGAGCCUACUGGUAAGGUCUUGAAUCUCACACCUGGAUGCAGUCUACAGUUGAAAUUGUGAUUGUCAUAGGUGAAUAUCCAGCUGCAGUUGAGAUGGUGACUCAUUUCUAACUUAGCUCUGAGGCAGGUGAGGACUGUUUUAUUUGGAACCAGCCAAUUAUAAAGAUGUUGACUCUCAUAUUUGAGCUUAGUUCUACAGGUACAAUCAUGGGUCCAUAACAUCAUGAAGGUCAUAGAGCAGUUUGCAACUCUCAUUAAUACUGUAGAAGGCUCUUGGGUGGUACUGAGAGGGUCUUAGCAGAGCCCCGCACACAGGUGAGAUUGUGACACUCAUAUGCACACCCAGCCAACAAUAAAACUUUUCAUCUUUCCACAUGAACACAGCCCACUGUUGAGGUCCUGAGUCUCCCUUGUGAAAACAGUGCAAAGUUGAAAAAUUGACUCUUAUAUGUGGAUUUGGUUCACAGAUGGGUUGGUGAUGCUCAGACAAAUAUUCAGCACACCUGUGAGUCUGCGACUCCAGUAAUCAUCCACAGUCUGCAGGAGAAAUUGAGGCUCUCACCAACAAAUCAAGUGCACAAUUGAGAUUGCGACUCUUGUACUCAGACCCAACAUACAGAAUGUGUUGACUCUCAAUUUUAAAACCAGAACAUGUGUGAGAUUAUUAAUCUGAUCUCUAAACCAUCCUGCAAGUGUGAUUGUGACACAAGUCUCUGUUCAGUACUUGAGUGAUUUGACUCCUUUGCCUGGGCCCAGUCCAAAGAUGUAAUUGUGACAUAUCACUGAAACCAGCAUAUAGGAGAUGUGUCUCCAUACUCCUGCCUUGGUGCUGCCCACAGUGGGCACUGUGACAUAUCACUGGGCCUUGUAUCCAAGUGAUGACUGCCUGCAGGGGAUAUGGUGACAUUUUACUUUGCCCAGCACCAAGAUGACUUGAAUCUGCUGCCUUUGUUCUACUUUCAGAAGACAUUGUGACAUAUCGCUGGGCCUAGCACCAAGGUGAUGUGAAUCUUCUGCCUGGACCUGCUCACAGAGGGAAUUGUUACAUAUUUUUGACUUCAUCAACUAUUUGAUGUGACUCUCCUCUCUAACCUGGGCCUUGCCCAUAAAAAACAUUGUGGCUUAUCUCUGGGCCCAAAACCUAGGUGAUGUGACUGUCUUCUUAGGGUCAUGCCCACAGUAGAGAGAUGCCUUAUUGCUAAACCCAGCACACAGGUGAGGUGAUUCUUCUGUCUGGUCCCUGCCCACAGGGGUCAUGAUGACAUCUCUCUAAGCCCAUCACCUAGAUUAUGUGAGUUCUCUUUUUCUUCUGUUAGCUAUAUAGAAGAUUGUGACAUAUUGCUUGGCCCAGACCUCAUGUGAUGUGAAUCUCCUCUCAUGCCUUGGUCCUGUUUUUUUUUGGCCGUUGUUGUUUUGUUUUGUUUUUUGAGAUGGAGUCUUGCUCUGUUGCCUAAGCUGGA
This 4107-nucleotide long non-coding RNA is filed under the name Homo sapiens (human). RNAcentral's name for it is "HSALNT0396684". The record is from RNAcentral. Lineage: Eukaryota; Metazoa; Chordata; Mammalia; Primates; Hominidae.